GAAAAUUGAUACCAAGUUGCCAAAGUAAUUUUAUUAAGUGAAAGUCACAUUUGUGACAACAGAUCUUCUAAUUUUUCGAUGUAAACCCUUCAUUAUUCAACUGCAAUACACAGACAUUCACUCACUUUAGCAGGUGUCAGGAGAAAUGUUUUCCACCCAAAACCACCUUAAACAAUGUUUAGAAUACAUUCCCAGCCACUUAGAAUUGAAUUUGUGAUACUUUAUGAAGCUGUCCUACAUUUCAACAACUGUGUGGGGUCUUUUCCCACUUCUGGUUCACUUUGUAAGAUCUACUAAUAAAAUAUCACUAAUUCAGCUGUGAGUAGUGGAACAUUUAUUCUGGAUGCCCCCCAAAUUAUUGACAUAUUCAAUAAAGAAAAUGUGAUAAUGCUACUUAGAAAUACACAUGUAACGAG
Pelobates cultripes (western spadefoot toad) is the source of this 416-nucleotide non-coding RNA. The record is from the annotation of a GenBank genome assembly. Lineage: Eukaryota; Metazoa; Chordata; Amphibia; Anura; Pelobatidae.